AUUGAACGCUGGCGGCAUGCCUUACACAUGCGAGUCGAACGGCAGCACGGGUGCUUGCACCUGGUGGCGAGUGGCGAACGGGUGAGUAAUACAUCGGAACGUACCUUAUCGUGGGGGAUAACGCAGCGAAAGCUGUGCUAAUACCGCAUACGCCCUGAGGGGGAAAACGGGGGAUCGAAAGACCUCGCGCGAUUAGAGCGGCCGAUGCCUGAUUAGCUUGUUGGUGGGGUAAAAGCCCACCAAGGCGACGAUCAGUAGCUGGUCUGAGAGGACGAUCAGCCACACUGGGACUGAGACACGGCCCAGACUCCUACGGGAGGCAGCAGUGGGGAAUUUUGGACAAUGGGGGCAACCCUGAUCCAGCAAUGCCGCGUGAGUGAAGAAGGCCUUCGGGUUGUAAAGCUCUUCUGUCAGGGAAGAAACACCGGCUCUAACACAGUCCGGGAAUGACGGUACCUGAAGAAUAAGCACCGGCUAACUACGUGCCAGCCGCCGCCGUAA
Molecule: ribosomal RNA, 501 nt
Filed under: uncultured bacterium
Lineage: Bacteria
Description: partial 16S ribosomal RNA
Rfam family: Bacterial small subunit ribosomal RNA
Source: RNAcentral